RNAcentral lists this ribosomal RNA (498 nucleotides) under uncultured bacterium. Its description in RNAcentral is "bacterial SSU rRNA". It matches the Rfam family "Bacterial small subunit ribosomal RNA", at positions 25 to 518 of the family's 1533-position model. The record is from RNAcentral.
CAGGAUGAACGCUAGCGACAGGCCUAACACAUGCAAGUCGAGGGGCAGCACAAGGAGCAAUCUGAGGUGGCGACCGGCGCACGGGUGAGUAACACGUAUGCAACCUGCCUGUAAGCGGGGAAUAACCCGUUGAAAGACGGACUAAUACCGCAUAAUACUAAAUUACUGCAUGGUAAUUUAUUUAAACAUUUAUGGCUUACAGAUGGGCAUGCGCAUGAUUAGCUAGUUGGAGAGGUAACGGCUCCCCAAGGCAACGAUCAUUAGGGGUUCUGAGAGGAAGGUCCCCCACACUGGUACUGAGACACGGACCAGACUCCUACGGGAGGCAGCAGUGAGGAAUAUUGGUCAAUGGACGAGAGUCUGAACCAGCCAAGUCGCGUGCAGGAAGAAUGUCCUAUGGAUUGUAAACUGCUUUUGCAGGGGAAUAAAGUGCAUCACGUGCGAUGUUUUGUAUGUACUCUGCGAAUAAGGAUCGGCUAACUCCGUGCCAGCCGCCGC